CCCUGCCUUUAGUUGCCAUCAGGUUAUGCUGGGCACUCUAAAGGGACUGCCGGUGAAAAACCGGAGGAAGGUGGGGAUGACGUCAAGUCCUCAUGGCCUUUAUGUCCAGGGCUACACACGUACUACAAUGGGUGGCACAAUGAGUCGCAAACCCGCGAGGGGGAGCCAAUCUCAAAAAACCAUUCUCAGUUCGGAUUGCAGCUCUUUAGUGAGGACUGCAUGAAGCUGGAAUCGCUAGUAAUCGCUGAUCAGCAAGCAGCGGUGAAUACGUUCCCGG
Molecule: ribosomal RNA, 277 nt
Filed under: uncultured Acidobacteriota bacterium
Lineage: Bacteria; Pseudomonadati; Acidobacteriota
Description: uncultured Acidobacteria bacterium partial 16S ribosomal RNA
Rfam family: Bacterial small subunit ribosomal RNA
Source: RNAcentral